UUUGAGUCGAAGCCUCUAGUUUUUCAGGAAGUACAUCCAUAUGUCUGUUGUUUCUGAUAUGUCUAUUGCUUUGAAUGAGACAACUCAAACAUCAGUUUGUUGCAGUACAAUGCAGGACUAUUUCUUGAAUCAUUUUCAAUUGAACUUCUUGUCCUGGCUAUAUGGAAGAAAGCUCUUCUGAUCUGUGGCUCUUGGAUAACCUCUGCUCCGGACAACGAAUCUCAUGGAAGCAGUUCAGCUAAUCAACCUACUAUCAAUGUUUGGGGUAAUGCAGAUUCGGGUCCAAAUCCAGACUAUACUGUUGGUUUAAACACGCCUUCAUCUGCUUGCAUCUGGGCGGAGCAAGGCUUUAUUGUUGCAUGUGAUCGUACCGAGAAGUUACAAUGUCAUCUUCAAGACAUGGAUGCUACAGGUGAGAUGCCUGAUGCCAUGGAAAUAAUAUAUCAGACAGCACUCACUAUAGGGAGAAACGGUUCUGUGGACGAGUAUAUGCGAAACAAAGGUAGUGCAGCAGCAUAGUAAUCGAAAACAAUGCUUUUGCUUUCGUUUAUUGUAGGAGAGGCGGAGAGUGUUCCCUUGAACCCACCAUUUUCAUUGACUCCUGCCAAUAAGAAGCGAAUUCAGACCUACAUUAAAAACUUACAGACUCGUCAGUCUCAGUUUCUAACAUCAGCACCAUUCCCUAAGCUGUCUGCAGACUUCCACACCAAGUGAAGAGCUCUGCUUGUAAAGAAAAAAUAGCAAAUACUGGCAGUCUGGAGCAAAUGAUCUUACAUUGCAUAGGAGUUGAUGUAAAUAAUAUCAUAUUCUUUUUCUUGAGAUACUGUAAAUUGGAACUGAGAUGUAACCUGUGAUGUAAUGUUAGCUAUACAUAGAGAGAAGUCUUUCAAUUAUUA
Molecule: long non-coding RNA, 896 nt
Organism: Hibiscus syriacus
Lineage: Eukaryota; Viridiplantae; Streptophyta; Magnoliopsida; Malvales; Malvaceae
Exons: 4
Source: RefSeq, a predicted model, not a curated record